AUUGAACGCUGGCGGAAUGCUUUACACAUGCAAGUCGAACGGUAGAGGGGGCAACCCCUCGAGAGUGGCGAACGGGUGAGUAAUAUAUCGGAACGUGCCCAGUCGUGGGGGAUAACAUAGCGCAAGUUACGCUAAUACCGCAUACGAUCUAAGGAAGAAAGCGGGGGAUCGCAAGACCUCGCGCGAUUGGAGAGGCCGAUAUCAGAUUAGGUAGUUGGUGGGGUAAAGGCUCACCAAGCCGACGAUCUGUAGCUGGUCUGAGAGGACGACCAGCCAAGAUGGAACUGAGACACGGUCCAGACUCCUACGGGAGGCAGCAGUGGAGAAUUUUGGACAGUGGACGCAAGUCUGAUUCAGCCAUUCCGCGUGCAGGAUAAAGGCCCUCGGGUUGUAAACUGCUUUUGUACGGAACGAAAAGGUCUCUCUUAAUACGGGGGCUCAUGACGGUACCGUAAGAAUAAGCACCGGCUAACUACGUGCCAGCAGCCGCGGUAA
RNAcentral lists this ribosomal RNA (495 nucleotides) under uncultured bacterium. RNAcentral describes it as "partial 16S ribosomal RNA". It matches the Rfam family "Bacterial small subunit ribosomal RNA", at positions 30 to 523 of the family's 1533-position model. The record is from RNAcentral.